AAAAAGGUGUUAGAAUGGUUAUAUGAUUGGCUUGAAACCAUUUUAUGUGGGUUCGAGUCCUACUCUUUUUG
RNAcentral lists this transfer RNA (71 nucleotides) under Schistometopum thomense. RNAcentral describes it as "tRNA-Ser". It matches the Rfam family "tRNA". From Rfam's summary of the family: Transfer RNA (tRNA) molecules are approximately 80 nucleotides in length. Their secondary structure includes four short double-helical elements and three loops (D, anti-codon, and T loops). Lineage: Eukaryota; Metazoa; Chordata; Amphibia; Gymnophiona; Dermophiidae. The record is from RNAcentral.